GGCUUGUGGCUCAGUGGUACAGUGCUCACCUAGCACAUGUGAAAUGCUGGGUUCGAUCCUCAGCACCA
This 68-nucleotide transfer RNA is filed under the name Marmota monax (woodchuck). RNAcentral describes it as "tRNA.Ala". Lineage: Eukaryota; Metazoa; Chordata; Mammalia; Rodentia; Sciuridae. The record is from RNAcentral.